Molecule: ribosomal RNA, 2901 nt
Filed under: Escherichia coli
Lineage: Bacteria; Pseudomonadati; Pseudomonadota; Gammaproteobacteria; Enterobacterales; Enterobacteriaceae
Also listed under: 1 other name
Description: bacterial LSU rRNA
Rfam family: Bacterial large subunit ribosomal RNA
Source: RNAcentral
UUAAGCGACUAAGCGUACACGGUGGAUGCCCUGGCAGUCAGAGGCGAUGAAGGACGUGCUAAUCUGCGAUAAGCGUCGGUAAGGUGAUAUGAACCGUUAUAACCGGCGAUUUCCGAAUGGGGAAACCCAGUGUGAUUUGUCACACUAUUAUUAACUGAAUCCAUAGGUUAAUGAGGCGAACCGGGGGAACUGAAACAUCUAAGUACCCCGAGGAAAAGAAAUCAACCGAGAUUCCCCCAGUAGCGGCGAGCGAACGGGGAGGAGCCCAGAGCCUGAAUCAGUGUGUGUGUUAGUGGAAGCGUCUGGAAAGGCGCGCGAUACAGGGUGACAGCCCCGUACACAAAAAUGCACAUACUGUGAGCUCGAUGAGUAGGGCGGGACACGUGGUAUCCUGUCUGAAUAUGGGGGGACCAUCCUCCAAGGCUAAAUACUCCUGACUGACCGAUAGUGAACCAGUACCGUGAGGGAAAGGCGAAAAGAACCCCGGCGAGGGGAGUGAAAAAGAACCUGAAACCGUGUACGUACAAGCAGUGGGAGCCUCUUUUAUGGGGUGACUGCGUACCUUUUGUAUAAUGGGUCAGCGACUUAUAUUCUGUAGCAAGGUUAACCGAAUAGGGGAGCCGAAGGGAAACCGAGUCUUAACUGGGCGUUAAGUUGCAGGGUAUAGACCCGAAACCCGGUGAUCUAGCCAUGGGCAGGUUGAAGGUUGGGUAACACUAACUGGAGGACCGAACCGACUAAUGUUGAAAAAUUAGCGGAUGACUUGUGGCUGGGGGUGAAAGGCCAAUCAAACCGGGAGAUAGCUGGUUCUCCCCGAAAGCUAUUUAGGUAGCGCCUCGUGAAUUCAUCUCCGGGGGUAGAGCACUGUUUCGGCAAGGGGGUCAUCCCGACUUACCAACCCGAUGCAAACUGCGAAUACCGGAGAAUGUUAUCACGGGAGACACACGGCGGGUGCUAACGUCCGUCGUGAAGAGGGAAACAACCCAGACCGCCAGCUAAGGUCCCAAAGUCAUGGUUAAGUGGGAAACGAUGUGGGAAGGCCCAGACAGCCAGGAUGUUGGCUUAGAAGCAGCCAUCAUUUAAAGAAAGCGUAAUAGCUCACUGGUCGAGUCGGCCUGCGCGGAAGAUGUAACGGGGCUAAACCAUGCACCGAAGCUGCGGCAGCGACACUGUGUGUUGUUGGGUAGGGGAGCGUUCUGUAAGCCUGCGAAGGUGUGCUGUGAGGCAUGCUGGAGGUAUCAGAAGUGCGAAUGCUGACAUAAGUAACGAUAAAGCGGGUGAAAAGCCCGCUCGCCGGAAGACCAAGGGUUCCUGUCCAACGUUAAUCGGGGCAGGGUGAGUCGACCCCUAAGGCGAGGCCGAAAGGCGUAGUCGAUGGGAAACAGGUUAAUAUUCCUGUACUUGGUGUUACUGCGAAGGGGGGACGGAGAAGGCUAUGUUGGCCGGGCGACGGUUGUCCCGGUUUAAGCGUGUAGGCUGGUUUUCCAGGCAAAUCCGGAAAAUCAAGGCUGAGGCGUGAUGACGAGGCACUACGGUGCUGAAGCAACAAAUGCCCUGCUUCCAGGAAAAGCCUCUAAGCAUCAGGUAACAUCAAAUCGUACCCCAAACCGACACAGGUGGUCAGGUAGAGAAUACCAAGGCGCUUGAGAGAACUCGGGUGAAGGAACUAGGCAAAAUGGUGCCGUAACUUCGGGAGAAGGCACGCUGAUACGUAGGUGAAGUCCCUCGCGGAUGGAGCUGAAAUCAGUCGAAGAUACCAGCUGGCUGCAACUGUUUAUUAAAAACACAGCACUGUGCAAACACGAAAGUGGACGUAUACGGUGUGACGCCUGCCCGGUGCCGGAAGGUUAAUUGAUGGGGUCAGCGCAAGCGAAGCUCUUGAUCGAAGCCCCGGUAAACGGCGGCCGUAACUAUAACGGUCCUAAGGUAGCGAAAUUCCUUGUCGGGUAAGUUCCGACCUGCACGAAUGGCGUAAUGAUGGCCAGGCUGUCUCCACCCGAGACUCAGUGAAAUUGAACUCGCUGUGAAGAUGCAGUGUACCCGCGGCAAGACGGAAAGACCCCGUGAACCUUUACUAUAGCUUGACACUGAACAUUGAGCCUUGAUGUGUAGGAUAGGUGGGAGGCUUUGAAGUGUGGACGCCAGUCUGCAUGGAGCCGACCUUGAAAUACCACCCUUUAAUGUUUGAUGUUCUAACGUGGACCCGUGAUCCGGGUUGCGGACAGUGUCUGGUGGGUAGUUUGACUGGGGCGGUCUCCUCCUAAAGAGUAACGGAGGAGCACGAAGGUUGGCUAAUCCUGGUCGGACAUCAGGAGGUUAGUGCAAUGGCAUAAGCCAGCUUGACUGCGAGCGUGACGGCGCGAGCAGGUGCGAAAGCAGGUCAUAGUGAUCCGGUGGUUCUGAAUGGAAGGGCCAUCGCUCAACGGAUAAAAGGUACUCCGGGGAUAACAGGCUGAUACCGCCCAAGAGUUCAUAUCGACGGCGGUGUUUGGCACCUCGAUGUCGGCUCAUCACAUCCUGGGGCUGAAGUAGGUCCCAAGGGUAUGGCUGUUCGCCAUUUAAAGUGGUACGCGAGCUGGGUUUAGAACGUCGUGAGACAGUUCGGUCCCUAUCUGCCGUGGGCGCUGGAGAACUGAGGGGGGCUGCUCCUAGUACGAGAGGACCGGAGUGGACGCAUCACUGGUGUUCGGGUUGUCAUGCCAAUGGCACUGCCCGGUAGCUAAAUGCGGAAGAGAUAAGUGCUGAAAGCAUCUAAGCACGAAACUUGCCCCGAGAUGAGUUCUCCCUGACUCCUUGAGAGUCCUGAAGGAACGUUGAAGACGACGACGUUGAUAGGCCGGGUGUGUAAGCGCAGCGAUGCGUUGAGCUAACCGGUACUAAUGAACCGUGAGGCUUAACCUU